AGUGAACGCUGGCGGUAGGCCUAACACAUGCAAGUCGAACGGCAGCACAGUAAGAGCUUUCUCUUACGGGUGGCGAGUGGCGUACGGGGUAUGAAUACAUCGGUAUCUACUUUUUCGUGGGGUCUAACGUAGGGAAACUUACGCUUAUACCGCAUACGGCCUACGGUUGAAAUCAGAGGAUCUUCGGACCUUACGCGAUCGCAUGAGCGGAUGGCGGGUUAGUUAGUUGGCGGGGCAAAGGACCACCAAGGAAACGAGCGGUAGCUGGUCUGAGAGAAUGAGCGGCCACACUGGAAGUGAGACAGGGUCCAGACUCAUACGGGAGGCAGCAGUGGGGAAUAUUGGACAAUGGGCGCAAGCAUGACCGAGCCAUACAGCGUGGGUGAAGAAGGACUUCGGGUUGUAAAGCAAUUUUGUUGGGAAAGAAAAGAAGCAGGUUAACACCCCGCUGUUCUGACGGAACCCACAGAAUAAGCACCGGCUAACUUCGU
This 491-nucleotide ribosomal RNA is filed under the name uncultured bacterium. RNAcentral describes it as "partial 16S ribosomal RNA". It matches the Rfam family "Bacterial small subunit ribosomal RNA", at positions 29 to 506 of the family's 1533-position model. The record is from RNAcentral.